Molecule: long non-coding RNA, 1126 nt
Organism: Sus scrofa (pig)
Lineage: Eukaryota; Metazoa; Chordata; Mammalia; Artiodactyla; Suidae
Source: RefSeq, a predicted model, not a curated record
CAGCCAGCAGCUCUAUAAGGAGAAAAGGGGGGGGGGUCAGGGUCAAAAGCCGAGGACCAUAGUGGACUCCCCAGUGCCCAGGCCCCCACCCCACCUCAUUCCUUCCCAGCAGAACGGCAUCUGAGGAGAAGGUGGGACCACCCUCCACUGCACCCUCUCUUCACUCUCGGCCCUAUGGUCACCCAAGGACUCUUCCAGGUCCUCAAAAGUGCAGGCUCCUCACCACUCUGGGGCUUCUCUACACUAUUCCUCCUGCCCGGAAUGUCCCUCCCUGGCCCCUCGUCCAUCUAGCCAACUUCUCAUCCUCCAGCGUCCCGAUCAUGUCUUUUCCUUGGAGAAGGUAAGCAUGCCCUUCUCCCUUGUCCUUGCAUUUACUCAGCAUCAGGCAUUUGAUUUCCUGGCACUCACCACAUCAUCUCACCGCUAUAGCUGUGUCACUACCUGUGAAACGGGGCUUUCCUGUGAGACAGUAAGCCCCAUGGAGGCAGGGACUGUGCCUGCCUCGUUCACAUUGUUAUUCUGUAGUGCCCGCCCCAUUACAGGUGCACAGUAUUCUGCAGCCAGAGUUAAAUCUCUUGGUUGCUUAUUUGUGCCUGAAGGCACCUGGGAAUUUCAGAGGUGUGGGGGUGGAGAAUAGGCUAGUGAGGCUAUUAAGAGGAAGAGGGAGAGCUUCAAGCACGGACUCCGUUUGGCCUUCCACAGGCUCUGGCUCCACUGGUCCAUGAGCUUGCAGAGGAAGGAAUCCCUUCCUGUUGGUGUGUGUGGCUGGUCCAGGUGGAGAGCAGGCAGUGCUGAGCUAGCUGCUUUCAAAUGGGCAUCGAAUCCAGGUGCUCACCUAAGAGGUUGUUAGGGGAGGAUUUGUGGCUGAAGUAGCACAGGACGAGGGACAGAGCUGGACCUACGGGUGGACUUCACGGGCUGAAAAGAUUGCCUAGCCUGAGCCAAGAGGAACCAGCUCCAGGGAAGGUGAGGUGAGUGAGAAGAAGGUCACUGCUGACGUCAGGGACAUUCAGGAAACCGCUGAGCACAAAGGCAGCAUUGAUUCUCCACCACCCGUGAGGGGACUCUGGGAGGCCCGGCCGCCGCCGCGCGCUGCUUACCGCACCCUCUCGCCCGCACCUGGGGG